This 822-nucleotide ribosomal RNA is filed under the name Triticum aestivum (bread wheat). Its description in RNAcentral is "partial small subunit ribosomal RNA". The record is from RNAcentral. Lineage: Eukaryota; Viridiplantae; Streptophyta; Magnoliopsida; Poales; Poaceae.
UUGUUGGCGACGGCGACCGGUGGGGUGGGAGUGCAGGUGGCCACCAAGUUCGGGGUCAAGUUCACCGAGGCGCCGCCGGGGUGAGAGUUCUGCGGCUCGCCGGCGUACGUCCGGCAGGCGUGCGAGGCCAGCCUGCGGCGCCUAGGAGUCGACUGCAUCGAUCUCUACUACCAGCACCGCAUCGACACCCGUCUGCCCAUCGAGAUCACGAUGGGGGAGCUGAAGAAGCAGGUGGAGGAGGGGAAGAUAAAGUACGUGGGCUUGUCGGAGGCCUCCGCUUCCAUCAUAAGAAGAGCCCAUGCCGUUCAUCCCAUCACCGCGGUGCAGCUCGAGUGGUCCCUCUGGACCACAGACUCUGAAGAUGAGAUCAUCCCUACCUGCAGGGAGCUUGGCAUCGGCAUAGUGGCAUACAGCCCCCUUGGCGGGGGAUUCUUCGGCUCAGGAGCAAAGUCGGCAGAUAAUCUGUCAGACCACGACGUCCGCAAGAAUCUGCCUCGGUUCCAAGCCGACAACCUGGAGCACAACCAGUUGAUCUUCGAGAGGGUGAACGAGAUGGCGACGAGGAAAGGAUGCACGCCGUCGCAGCUCACUCUGGCCUGGGUACACCACUAGGGACCGGACGUGUGCCCGAUCCCGGGGAUUACUAAGAUGGACAACUUCGACAGCAACCUCGCGGCGCUCGCCCUCAGGCUUACCCCGGAGGAGAUGGAGCUAGAAUCUUACGCCGCCGCGGACGCUGUGAAAGGGUUCAGGACCUACAAUGCAGCGAACACGUGGAUGAGCUCGGAUACCCCUCCGCUCGAGUCGUUCAAGGGAGAGUGA